GGAUUAGAUACCCUGGUAGUCCACGCUGUAAACGAUGUCUAUUAGGAGUCUGUGCCCUUGAGGCGUGGGUUCCAAAGCUAACGCAUUAAAUAGACCGCCUGGGGAGUACGGCCGCAAGGUUAAAACUCAAAUGAAUUGACGGGGGCCCGCACAAGCGGUGGAGCAUGUGGUUUAAUUCGAUGCAACGCGAAGAACCUUACCAUCCCUUGACAUCCACGGAAGCCAGCAGAGAUGCAGGUGUGCCUUCGGGAACUGUGAGACAGGUGCUGCAUGGCUGUCGUCAGCUCGUGCCG
This 293-nucleotide ribosomal RNA is filed under the name uncultured bacterium. Its description in RNAcentral is "partial 16S ribosomal RNA". It matches the Rfam family "Bacterial small subunit ribosomal RNA", at positions 775 to 1067 of the family's 1533-position model. The record is from RNAcentral.